AGAGGAGCUUGCUUUUCUCAGCUUAGUGGCGAACGGGUGAGUAACGCGUGAGGAACCUGCCUUUCAGAGGGGGACAACAGUUGGAAACGACUGCUAAUACCGCAUGACACAUUGGGGUCGCAUGGCCCUGAUGUCAAAGAUUUAUCGCUUCAAGAUGGCCUCGCGUCUGAUUAGCUAGUUGGCGGGGUAACGGCCCACCAAGGCGACGAUCAGUAGCCGGACUGAGAGGUUGAACGGCCACAUUGGGACUGAGAUACGGCCCAGACUCC
Molecule: ribosomal RNA, 269 nt
Filed under: uncultured Oscillibacter sp.
Lineage: Bacteria; Bacillati; Bacillota; Clostridia; Eubacteriales; Oscillospiraceae
Description: partial 16S ribosomal RNA
Rfam family: Bacterial small subunit ribosomal RNA
Source: RNAcentral